This 76-nucleotide transfer RNA is filed under the name Pseudomonadota bacterium. Its description in RNAcentral is "Proteobacteria bacterium (groundwater metagenome) tRNA-Thr". It matches the Rfam family "tRNA". From Rfam's summary of the family: Transfer RNA (tRNA) molecules are approximately 80 nucleotides in length. Their secondary structure includes four short double-helical elements and three loops (D, anti-codon, and T loops). RNAcentral also lists the same sequence under 4 other names. Lineage: Bacteria; Pseudomonadati; Pseudomonadota. The record is from RNAcentral.
GCCACCGUAGCUCAGUUGGUAGAGCAACUGAUUCGUAAUCAGUAGGUCAGCGGUUCGACUCCGCUCGGUGGCUCCA